RNAcentral lists this ribosomal RNA (750 nucleotides) under uncultured Arcobacter sp. RNAcentral's name for it is "bacterial SSU rRNA". It matches the Rfam family "Bacterial small subunit ribosomal RNA", at positions 97 to 867 of the family's 1533-position model. The record is from RNAcentral. Lineage: Bacteria; Pseudomonadati; Campylobacterota; Epsilonproteobacteria; Campylobacterales; Arcobacteraceae.
GGCGGACGGGUGAGUAAUAUAUAGGUAAUGUGCCCUAGAGAAGAGGAUAACAGUUGGAAACGACUGCUAAUACUCUAUAUGCCUUUAAGACAAAAGUCUGCAAGGGAAAUAUUUAUAGCUCUAGGAUCGGCCUGUACGGUAUCAGCUAGUUGGUGAGGUAAUGGCUCACCAAGGCAAUGACGCCUAACUGGUUUGAGAGGAUGAUCAGUCACACUGGAACUGAGACACGGUCCAGACUCCUACGGGAGGCAGCAGUGGGGAAUAUUGCACAAUGGGGGAAACCCUGAUGCAGCAACGCCGCGUGGAGGAUGACACAUUUCGGUGCGUAAACUCCUUUUAUAUAGGAAGAUAAUGACGGUACUAUAUGAAUAAGCGCCGGCUAACUCCGUGCCAGCAGCCGCGGUAAUACGGAGGGCGCAAGCGUUACUCGGAAUCACUGGGCGUAAAGAGCGUGUAGGCGGGUUAAUAAGUUUGAAGUGAAAUCCUAUGGCUCAACCAUAGAACUGCUUUGAAAACUGUUAACCUAGAAUAUGGGAGAGGUAGAUGGAAUUUCUGGUGUAGGGGUAAAAUCCGUAGAGAUCAGAAGGAAUACCGAUUGCGAAGGCGAUCUACUGGAACAUUAUUGACGCUGAGACGCGAAAGCGUGGGGAGCAAACAGGAUUAGAUACCCUGGUAGUCCACGCCCUAAACGAUGCUCACUAGUUGUUGUGAGGCUAGACCUUGCAGUAAUGCAGUAAACACAUUAAGUGU